UACGGAGGGUGCAAGCGUUGUCCGGAAUCAUUGGGUGUAAAGGGUGCGUAGGCGGGAGCCUAAGUCUGUGGUGAAAUCUUGCCGCUUAACGGUAAAAUUGCCAUGGAUACUGGGUUUCUUGAGUGCAGAAGAGGUCGGUGGAAUUCGUAGUGUAGCGGUGAAAUGCAUAGAUAUUACGAAGAACAUCAGUGGCGAAGGCGGCCGACUGGACUGCAACUGACGCUGAGGCACGAAAGCGUGGGGAGCGAACAGG
RNAcentral lists this unclassified non-coding RNA (253 nucleotides) under uncultured Bacteroidota bacterium. RNAcentral describes it as "uncultured Bacteroidetes bacterium contains 16S-23S intergenic spacer region". It matches the Rfam family "Bacterial small subunit ribosomal RNA", at positions 524 to 776 of the family's 1533-position model. Lineage: Bacteria; Pseudomonadati; Bacteroidota. The record is from RNAcentral.